RNAcentral lists this ribosomal RNA (244 nucleotides) under uncultured bacterium. Its description in RNAcentral is "partial 16S ribosomal RNA". It matches the Rfam family "Bacterial small subunit ribosomal RNA", at positions 8 to 239 of the family's 1533-position model. The record is from RNAcentral.
AGAGUUUGAUCAUGGCUCAGGAUGAACGCUAGCUACAGGCUUAACACAUGCAAGUCGAGGGGGCAGCAUUUUAGUUUGCUUGCAAACUGAAGAUGGCGACCGGCGCACGGGUGAGUAACACGUAUCCAACCUGCCGAUAACUCCGGAAUAGCCUUUCGAAAGAAAGAUUAAUACCGGAUAGCAUAUGAAUAUCGCAUGAUAUUUUUUAAUUAAAGAAUUUCGGUUAUCGAUGGGGAUGCGUUCC